UGGGGAAUAUUGGACAAUGGGCGAAAGCCUGAUCCAGCCAUGCCGCGUGUGUGAAGAAGGUCUUCGGAUUGUAAAGCACUUUAAGUUGGGAGGAAGGGCAGUAAGCGAAUACCUUGCUGUUUUGACGUUACCGACAGAAUAAGCACCGGCUAACUCUGUGCCAGCAGCCGCGGUAAUACAGAGGGUGCAAGCGUUAAUCGGAAUUACUGGGCGUAAAGCGCGAGUAGGUGGUUCGUUAAGUUGAAUGUGAAAGCCACGGGCUCAACCUGGGAACUGCAUCCAAAACUGGCGAGCUAGAGUAGGGCAGAGGGUGGUGGAAUUUCCUGUGUAGCGGUGAAAUGCGUAGAUAUAGGAAGGAACACCAGUGGCGAAGGCGACCACCUGGGCUCAUACUGACACUGAGGUGCGAAAGCGUGGGGAGCAAACAGG
This 429-nucleotide ribosomal RNA is filed under the name Pseudomonadota bacterium. RNAcentral's name for it is "Proteobacteria bacterium partial 16S ribosomal RNA". It matches the Rfam family "Bacterial small subunit ribosomal RNA", at positions 355 to 776 of the family's 1533-position model. Lineage: Bacteria; Pseudomonadati; Pseudomonadota. The record is from RNAcentral.